RNAcentral lists this ribosomal RNA (481 nucleotides) under uncultured bacterium. RNAcentral's name for it is "partial 16S ribosomal RNA". It matches the Rfam family "Bacterial small subunit ribosomal RNA", at positions 28 to 507 of the family's 1533-position model. The record is from RNAcentral.
GAUGAACGCUGGCGGCGUGCCUAACACAUGCAAGUCGAGCGAAGCACUUACUUUAGAUUUCUUCGGAAUGACGAAGUUUGUGACUGAGCGGCGGACGGGUGAGUAACGCGUGGGCAACCUGCCCUGUACAGGGGGAUAACAGUUAGAAAUGACUGCUAAUACCGCAUAAGCCCACAGCUUCGCAUGAAGCAGUGGGAAAAACUCCGGUGGUACAGGAUGGGCCCGCGUCUGAUUAGCUAGUUGGUAAGGUAACGGCUUACCAAGGCGACGAUCAGUAGCCGACCUGAGAGGGUGACCGGCCACAUUGGGACUGAGACACGGCCCAAACUCCUACGGGAGGCAGCAGUGGGGAAUAUUGCACAAUGGGGGAAACCCUGAUGCAGCGACGCCGCGUGAGCGAUGAAGUAUUUCGGUAUGUAAAGCUCUAUCAGCAGGGAAGAAAGUGACGGUACCUGACUAAGAAGCCCCGGCUAACCACGUA